Molecule: ribosomal RNA, 253 nt
Filed under: uncultured bacterium
Lineage: Bacteria
Description: partial 16S ribosomal RNA
Rfam family: Bacterial small subunit ribosomal RNA
Source: RNAcentral
AACGUAGGUUCCGAGCGUUAUCCGGAUUUACUGGGCGUAAAGCGUGUUCAGGCGGCUCAGCAAGUCGGGCAUGAAAUCUCUCGGCUCAACCGGGAGGGGCUGUCCGAAACUGCUGGGCUUGAGGGCAGUAGAGGGUGGUGGAACUCCGGGUGUAGUGGUGAAAUGCGUAGAUAUCCGGAGGAACACCAGUGGCGAAAGCGGCCACCUGGACUGUACCUGACGCUCAAACACGAAAGCUAGGGGAGCGAACGGG